UGGGGAAUUUUGGACAAUGGGCGCAAGCCUGAUCCAGCCAUUCCGCGUGCAGGACGAAGGCCUUCGGGUUGUAAACUGCUUUUGUACGGAACGAAAAGGCUCUGGCUAAUACCUGGGGCUCAUGACGGUACCGUAAGAAUAAGCACCGGCUAACUACGUGCCAGCAGCCGCGGUAAUACGUAGGGUGCAAGCGUUAAUCGGAAUUACUGGGCGUAAAGCGUGCGCAGGCGGUUAUGUAAGACAGAGGUGAAAUCCCCGGGCUCAACCUGGGAACUGCCUUUGUGACUGCAUAGCUGGAGUACGGCAGAGGGGGACGGAAUUCCGCGUGUAGCAGUGAAAUGCGUAGAUAUGCGGAGGAACACCGAUGGCGAAGGCAAUCCCCUGGGCCUGUACUGACGCUCAUGCACGAAAGCGUGGGGAGCAAACA
This 427-nucleotide ribosomal RNA is filed under the name uncultured bacterium. RNAcentral's name for it is "bacterial SSU rRNA". It matches the Rfam family "Bacterial small subunit ribosomal RNA", at positions 355 to 774 of the family's 1533-position model. The record is from RNAcentral.